RNAcentral lists this ribosomal RNA (432 nucleotides) under uncultured bacterium. RNAcentral describes it as "bacterial SSU rRNA". It matches the Rfam family "Bacterial small subunit ribosomal RNA", at positions 32 to 507 of the family's 1533-position model. The record is from RNAcentral.
AACGACGCUGGCGGCAGGCCUAACACAUGCAAGUCGAACGCCCUAGCAAUAGGGAGUGGCGCACGGGUGCGUAACGCGUGGGAAUAUGCCCUUGACUACGGAACAACACAGGGAAACUUGUGCUAAUACCGUAUAAUGUCUCCGGACCAAAGAUUUAUCGGUCAAGGAUUAGCCCGCGUUAGAUUAGCUAGUUGGUGAGGUAAUGGCUCACCAAGGCUACGAUCUAUAGCUGGUCUGAGAGGAUGAUCAGCCACACUGGGACUGAGACACGGCCCAGACUCCUACGGGAGGCAGCAGUGAGGAAUAUUGGACAAUGGGGGCAACCCUGAUCCAGCCAUGCCGCGUGAGUGAUGAAGGCCUUCGGGUUGUAAAACUCUUUUAGAUGUGACGAUGAUGACGGUAACAUCAGAAAAAGCUCCGGCUAACUUCGUG